CCUACGGGAGGCAGCAGUGGGGAAUUUUGGACAAUGGGCGAAAGCCUGAUCCAGCAAUGCCGCGUGCAGGAUGAAGGCCUUCGGGUUGUAAACUGCUUUUGUACGGAACGAAAAAGCUCCUUCUAAUACAGGGGGCCCAUGACGGUACCGUAAGAAUAAGCACCGGCUAACUACGUGCCAGCAGCCGCGGUAAUACGUAGGGUGCGAGCGUUAAUCGGAAUUACUGGGCGUAAAGCGUGCGCAGGCGGUUAUGUAAGACAGAUGUGAAAUCCCCGGGCUCAACCUGGGAACUGCAUUUGUGACUGCAUGGCUAGAGUACGGUAGAGGGGGAUGGAAUUCCGCGUGUAGCAGUGAAAUGCGUAGAUAUGCGGAGGAACACCGAUGGCGAAGGCAAUCCCCUGGACCUGUACUGACGCUCAUGCACGAAAGCGUGGGGAGCA
Molecule: ribosomal RNA, 440 nt
Filed under: uncultured bacterium
Lineage: Bacteria
Description: bacterial SSU rRNA
Rfam family: Bacterial small subunit ribosomal RNA
Source: RNAcentral